GUAGAUCAUUCUUGAAGGUCUUCAUGUUGAAUAGUAGGCUGAGGAGGAAGAGGAGAGGUUCGUCUUGUCUCAGAAGUGGCAGAGGUGGAAGAAAAUCCACAUCAGCCUGUGGUAGCUGUUCCUCUUGUUAUGCCAGUUUGUAGAAGGAAAGAGGAUGAGGUGUCUAUUGGAAGUGCACCCUUGGCAAAGCAGCAAUCAUAUCAGGCCUCUGAAUAUGCCAGCAGCCCUGUAAAAACAAAAACGGUAACAGCUCCAUUCUUCCAGUCUGUCAGCCCUAAUACCUUGGAAUCAUCUUUGCUUUCUCUCGUACUAUACAUCUAAUCUAUCACUAUUCUUGUACUCAGAAUCCCGCCCAUUGUCAGUUCCUGUUAAAGCCAUGUUGAAUAUAUCUGAAAGCUGUAGAAGUCCUGAAGAAAGAAUGAAGGAAUUUAUUGGAAUUGUUUGGAAUGCAGUGAAGCAUCUCACACUACAGCUUGAAGUACA
RNAcentral lists this small RNA (483 nucleotides) under Pongo abelii (Sumatran orangutan). RNAcentral's name for it is "processed transcript". Lineage: Eukaryota; Metazoa; Chordata; Mammalia; Primates; Hominidae. The record is from RNAcentral.